GACAGAGGGUGCAAACGUUGCUCGGAAUCACUGGGCGUAAAGGGCGUGUAGGCGGGAAGGAAAGUCAGAUGUGAAAUCCCCAGGCUCAACCUGGGAACUGCGUCUGAUACUGGAUGGCUUGAAUCCGGGAGAGGGAUGCAGAAUUCCAGGUGUAGCGGUGAAAUGCGUAGAUAUCUGGAGGAAUACCGGUGGCGAAGGCGGCAUCCUGGACCGGCAUUGACGCUGAGGAGCGAAAGCCAGGGGAGCAAACGGG
This 253-nucleotide ribosomal RNA is filed under the name uncultured bacterium. RNAcentral describes it as "partial 16S ribosomal RNA". It matches the Rfam family "Bacterial small subunit ribosomal RNA", at positions 524 to 776 of the family's 1533-position model. The record is from RNAcentral.